Molecule: ribosomal RNA, 497 nt
Filed under: uncultured bacterium
Lineage: Bacteria
Description: partial 16S ribosomal RNA
Rfam family: Bacterial small subunit ribosomal RNA
Source: RNAcentral
GAUGAACGCUGGCGGCGUGCCUAAUACAUGCAAGUCGAGCGAACAGACGAGGAGCUUGCUCCUCUGACGUUAGCGGCGGACGGGUGAGUAACACGUGGAUAACCUACCUAUAAGACUGGGGUAACUUCGGGAAACCGGAGCUAAUACCGGAUAAUAUAUAGAACCGCAUGGUUCAAUAGUGAAAGACGGUUUUGCUGUCACUUAUAGAUGGAUCCGCGCCGCAUUAGCUAGUUGGUAAGGUAACGGCUUACCAAGGCAACGAUGCGUAGCCGACCUGAGAGGGUGAUCGGCCACACUGGAACUGAGACACGGUCCAGACUCCUACGGGAGGCAGCAGUAGGGAAUCUUCCGCAAUGGGCGAAAGCCUGACGGAGCAACGCCGCGUGAGUGAUGAAGGUCUUCGGAUCGUAAAACUCUGUUAUUAGGGAAGAACAAAUGUGUAAGUAACUAUGCACGUCUUGACGGUACCUAAUCAGAAAGCCACGGCUAACUACGUG